Molecule: non-coding RNA, 204 nt
Organism: Pelobates cultripes (western spadefoot toad)
Lineage: Eukaryota; Metazoa; Chordata; Amphibia; Anura; Pelobatidae
Source: the annotation of a GenBank genome assembly
GUGUAUAACAUGCGGUCGGCCAAAGGAUUUCAGGAAGCCCGUGAAGAACUACUAGGGGUGCAGCCACUGUGCUGCACCAGGGCAUGUGUAAUUAGGAGUCCUAUUGGGUGGUCCAUGCACUUAGGGCCACCAGGAGGAGGCAGUAAUGGAGACCAGGGCGGGAGAGACUGGAGCAGCACAGAGGGAGCAAAGAGAAGGCAGGAG